UAUCAAUCUAAUAUUUCAUCACUUGUUAUGAGAACAAUGUUAAUGAUGAAUCCAGUUUGUUUAAAAUUCGUUCAAGCCAUAUUUAUGGUGUGUUUGGUGUUGCAGGUGAACCUUUUUUUUGCGAAAGAGGUUGACCUUGUUCCUUCGAAAGUGGUUAGGUGCGUAGAAAGGGAGAGGGAAGCACUACUUCAGUUCAAGGGUGGGCUUGUGGAUAAGUAUGGCAUGAUGUCAUCAUGGAAGAGUGCAGAUUGUUGCCAAUGGAAGGGAAUUCGUUGUAGCAAGCUUACUGGCCAUAUCUUAAUGCUCGAUCUUCAUGGAGAGAGUCUCAUGAUAUCUUCAAUGGAGAGUUCGAUGAAUCAGUCUCACAACUUUAUAUCAGCGGUAAGAUCCACAAGUCGUUGAUGGAGUUGCAACAAUUAAAGUAUUUGAACCUCAGUUCGAAUUCUUUUAAAGACAGCCAUAUCCCAAAUUUCUUUGGUUCUCUGACCAACUUGAGAUACCUUGAUCUGUCAUUUUGUGAUUUUGGAGGAAACAUUCCAAGUCAAUUGGGAUUUCUUUCACAUUUGAAAUACUUAAAUCUUGGCGGAAAUACCUUGGAGGGUUCAAUCCCUUAUCAACUCGGAAAUCUCUCCAAGUUGCAAUAUCUUGAUCUCAUUGGCAAUUAUUUAGAAGGAAAAAUACCAUCUCAGCUUUGGAACCUUUCAAACUUGCAGAAGAUUUAUCUUGGAGGAUAUGGUAGUUCUCUCAAAAUUGACGAUGGUAAUCACGCCAGAGGUCAGUGGCUGUCUAAUCUCACUUCUUUAAUCCAUCUUCACUUGGUUGGAAUAUCUAAUCUUAAUAGUUCUUAUAGUUGGAUGCAAAUGAUUGGUAAGCUACCAAAACUAAGAGAACUAAAUUUGAUUAAAUGUGGCCUUUCUGAUCAUUUUAUCCAUUCACCGAGUCCUUCCAGAUUCAACUCUUCUUCUUCCCUUUCCGUCAUUGAUCUCUCUCAGAACACCUUCACGUCAUCCAUUAUAUUCCAGUGGGUGUCAAAUAUCAGCUCCAACCUUGUUGAGCUUGACCUUAGUGAAAACCUCUUGGAGGAUUCCCCAUCAAAUCAUUUUGGCAUAGCAAUGAAUUCUCUUGAGAAACUUGACCUCUCCGGCAAUAGUCUCAAGGGUGGGGUUGUGAAAUCCUUCAUGAAUAUAUGCACCUUACGUUCUUUAGACCUGUCUGAAAAUAAUUUCACUGAAGACCUUCCGUCAAUUCUUCAUAACUUGUCUAGUGGUUGUGUUGUGUACUCACUACAAGAGUUGAAUCUGGGAUAUAAUCAAAUCACUGGUUUGUUACCGGACCUUUCAAUAUUCUCAUCUUUGAAAACAUUGGAUCUUUCUAGUAAUCGAUUAAGUGGAAAGAUACCUGAAGGGAGCAUAUUGCCAUCUCAGUUGGAGUCUUUGUCAAUCAGUUCAAACUCAUUAGAAGGCGGAGUUCCAAAAUCAUUCGGGAAUGCAUGUUCUUUGAGCUCAUUGGACCUGUCCAUUAACAAUUUGAGUGAAGAGCUUCCAAUGAUAAUCCAUCAAUUGUCUGGAUGUGCUAGAUACUCACUGCAAAAAUUGGGUCUAAGCACGAAUCAAAUCAAUGGCACACUUCCUAAUUUCUCGAUAUUUUCAUCUUUAAAAGAAUUAUAUCUUGAUGAAAAUAGGCUGAAUGGGAAGAUUCGUGAAGAUAUUCGAUUUCCGAUUGACCUUGAAACACUGGAUAUACAUUCAAAUGCUUUGGAAGGGGUGAUCACUGAAUCUCAUUUUGCCAAUAUGUCUAAGUUAAUGUCCUUGACGUUAUCUGACAACUCAUUGGUUGUGGCAUUUAGCCAAAAUUGGGUGCCAUCUUUUCAACUAAGAGAAAUAUGGUUGAGAUCUUGCAAGUUAGGUCCAACAUUUCCCAAAUGGUUGCAGACACAAAAUUACAUCGCAAAUCUUGAUAUUUCUAAUUGUGGAAUAUCAGAUGUUGUUCCAGAGUGGUUUUGGGCUAAGAUUGCAUCACCGGACCUAGCAACCAUGAAUAUUUCAUACAACAAUCUCAAAGGUGUAAUUCCAAAUGUUCCAGUAAACAAUACUCCAAGUUCUUUAAAUCUUGCGUCAAAUCAAUUUGAAGGUCCUAUUCCACCAUUUCUACGAGAUUCUGUAUCUCUUGAUUUGUCCGAAAAUAAAUUCUCAGAUUCUCGUUGGUUUUUAUGUGCUAAUAAUGGUUCAACUGAAACUUUAGCCCAAUUAGACCUUUCAAGCAAUCAGUUAUCCGGAAAAAUUCCGCAUUGUUGGAGCUAUUUCAAGUCAUUAGUACAUCUAGAUUUGAGUCACAAUAAUUUUUCAGGAAAGAUUCCUAGUUCAAUGGGAUCACUUCUUGAACUUGAAGCAUUGCUAUUGAGAAACAAUAGCUUAACAGAGGGGAUCCCUUUCUCCUUGAGGAGUUGCACAAAGUUAGUAAUGCUAGAUGUGGCGGAAAAUAGAUUGUCAAGGCCUAUUCCUUCUUGGAUUGGGAGCAAAUUUCAAGAGUUGCAAAUUUUAAGCUUAAGAAGGAAUCACUUUUGUGGAAGUUUACCAUUGCAACUUUGUUAUCUAAAAAGCAUUCAGCUCUUAGAUCUCUCAUUGAACAACUUAUCUGGACAAAUUCCCAAAUGCUUCAAAAAUUUUACUUCAAUGGCUCAGAAGACUUCCUCAGGACAUUAUCUGUAUUAUAAUAUUGAAACUAAUCAUGAGUUUAACUCUAUGCCAUACUCCUUGAAUGCAAUCUUGACGUGGAAAGGUUCGGAACAAAUGUUCAAGAAUAAUGGGUCAUUUCUUUUAAAAAGCAUUGAUCUCUCGAGCAAUCACUUUUCAGAAGAAAUUCCAAUAGAAAUAGUGAAUUUGUUUGAUUUGGUUUCACUGAAUUUGUCAGGGAACAAUUUGACAGGGGAAAUUCCUUCAAAUAUUGGAAGGCUAACAUCACUUGAAUUCCUUGAUUUGUCAAGAAACCAAAUUUCAGGUUCAAUCCCUUCUAGUCUUGCUCGAAUUGAUCGGCUUACCAUGUUAGAUUUGUCUCAUAACCAUCUAUCUGGGGAAAUUCCGAUCAGCACACAAUUACAGAGCUUUGAUGCCUCAAGUUAUGAAGAUAAUCUUGAUCUUUGUGGGAAGCCACUUGACAAGUUGUGUAAUAUUGAAGCGGAGCCACCGAAGGAACCAAUUGUUAAAUCUGAGGAUGAGGAUGAGGAUUUGCUUGUUAGUCGUGGAUUUUAUGUGAGCAUGGCAUUUGGAUUUGUUAUAGGCUUUUGGGGAAUUUUCGGCUCAAUUUUGGUCAGCCGUUCUUUGCGACAUGCUUAUUUCAGGUUAUUGAAACAAUUUAACUGACAAUAUUUAUGUCAUGAUAGCUGUGAAAGUUGCCAAAUACAAGAGGUGGCUCGAAGGCUAGCUGACUUUGGCGAUCAUAUUCCCCUCGUAUCAAUAUUUAAGUUAGUAGAUCUCUUGUCAAGACAAGUCUUCUGUGUGGAAUAAGCUUGAACCCAGUGUUGUUUCAUAGUUUGCAGAUUUAGUUACUUUAGGGAUAUCCUUUGUUCUUGCAUGUUUUGAUUGUUUGAGGGAAAAGUGUAUGUCAUUCUAAAGGACGUAAAUUUGUGUUAUUUUAAGAGAGAGAAAAAUAUAGAUAAAGGAAAGAGAGUUGCCAAAAAAAAAGAUGUGAACCCCACCUCUUUGUGAGAGUGAAAUGACACAAAUUAUAUCAUUUAAAAAGAUAAACAUUUUUCCCAUUGUUUA
RNA transcript from Gastrolobium bilobum, 3761 nucleotides. It is a transcript of the gene named receptor-like protein EIX2, with no coding region annotated. The record is from RefSeq and is a predicted model, not a curated record. Lineage: Eukaryota; Viridiplantae; Streptophyta; Magnoliopsida; Fabales; Fabaceae. The transcript is spliced from 3 exons.